Molecule: transfer RNA, 85 nt
Filed under: Pseudobdellovibrionaceae bacterium
Lineage: Bacteria; Pseudomonadati; Bdellovibrionota; Bdellovibrionia; Bdellovibrionales; Pseudobdellovibrionaceae
Description: Bdellovibrionaceae bacterium (activated sludge metagenome) tRNA-Leu
Rfam family: tRNA
About the family: Transfer RNA (tRNA) molecules are approximately 80 nucleotides in length. Their secondary structure includes four short double-helical elements and three loops (D, anti-codon, and T loops).
Source: RNAcentral
GCCCGGGUGGUGGAAUUGGUAGACACGCUGGUCUUAGAAGCCAGUACCGAGAGGUGUGCAGGUUCAAGUCCUGUCCCGGGUACCA